UGGGAAGUGGCGCAACUGGUAGCGCGGCGGCCUCUGAAGCCGACGGCUGAAGGUUCGAUUCCUUCCUUCCCAG
Molecule: transfer RNA, 73 nt
Filed under: Myxococcales bacterium
Lineage: Bacteria; Pseudomonadati; Myxococcota; Myxococcia; Myxococcales
Description: tRNA-Gln
Rfam family: tRNA
About the family: Transfer RNA (tRNA) molecules are approximately 80 nucleotides in length.
Source: RNAcentral